AGCCUCUCCACAAUCCCUAUAGGAUUCCUCGGAUCGAACGUCGCGUUAAACGACAACGUUUUAGAUGAAGACGACGAUGACGGAUUCGGCUUUGGGUUGGUCUCCUUUCCAUCCUCCUGAUACUCAGAAAUUAUCGCCAUGACGAUUGGCUUGUCCUGGACUCGGUUGACUCGCUGAGUGAAAACUGCGAAACCGCUACAGAAACGAGAAGUAGAACUAGCUUGACUUAUAAUUU
Molecule: unclassified non-coding RNA, 235 nt
Filed under: Hevea brasiliensis (rubber tree)
Lineage: Eukaryota; Viridiplantae; Streptophyta; Magnoliopsida; Malpighiales; Euphorbiaceae
Source: RNAcentral